AACGCACAUUGCGCCCGCCAGUAUUCUGGCGGGCAUGCCUGUUCGAGCGUCAUUUCAACCAUCAAGCGCCUGCGCUUGUGUUGGAGCCCUGCGGCUGCCGCAGGCUCCCAAACCCAGUGGCGGGCUCGUCGUCGUACCGAGUGCAGUAAAUUUACCACGCUCAGGGCACGCGACGGGUGACCGGCCGUAAAACCCCCCACUUUCUCAAGGUUGACCUCGGAUCAGGUAGGAAUACCCGCUGAACUUAA
This 248-nucleotide unclassified non-coding RNA is filed under the name uncultured Lasiosphaeriaceae. RNAcentral's name for it is "sequence contains ITS2". The stretch from base 1 to 52 matches the Rfam family "5.8S ribosomal RNA", at positions 103 to 154 of the family's 154-position model. Lineage: Eukaryota; Fungi; Ascomycota; Sordariomycetes; Sordariales; Lasiosphaeriaceae. The record is from RNAcentral.